CCUACGGGGGGCUGCAGUAGGGAAUUUUCCACAAUGGACGAAAGUCUGAUGGAGCAACGCCGCGUGCAGGAUGAAGGCUUUCGGGUCGUAAACUGCUUUUAUGAGUGAAGAAUAUGACGGUAACUCAUGAAUAAGGGUCGGCUAACUACGUGCCAGCAGCCGCGGUCAUACGUAGGACCCAAGCGUUAUCCGGAGUGACUGGGCGUAAAGAGUUGCGUAGGUGGUCGGUAAAGCGAAUAGUGAAAUCUGGUGGCUCAACCAUUCAGGCUAUUAUUCGAACUCACCGACUCGAGAGCAGCAGAGGUAACUGGAAUUUCUGAAGUAGGGGUAAUAUCCGUAGAUAUCAGAAGGAACACCAAUGGCGUAGGCAGGUUACUGGGCUGUUUCUGACACUGAGGCACGAAAGCGUGGGGAGCGAACCGGAUUAGAUACCCUUGUAGUC
RNAcentral lists this ribosomal RNA (442 nucleotides) under Salmonella enterica subsp. enterica. RNAcentral describes it as "bacterial SSU rRNA". It matches the Rfam family "Bacterial small subunit ribosomal RNA", at positions 338 to 795 of the family's 1533-position model. The record is from RNAcentral. Lineage: Bacteria; Pseudomonadati; Pseudomonadota; Gammaproteobacteria; Enterobacterales; Enterobacteriaceae.